RNAcentral lists this transfer RNA (48 nucleotides) under Trichopsis vittata (croaking gourami). RNAcentral's name for it is "partial tRNA". The record is from RNAcentral. Lineage: Eukaryota; Metazoa; Chordata; Actinopteri; Anabantiformes; Osphronemidae.
UGUCUGUUUUGCAUGCAGGAGAUGUGGGUUAGUAUCCCGCAAGUCUUA